RNAcentral lists this ribosomal RNA (763 nucleotides) under uncultured archaeon. Its description in RNAcentral is "bacterial SSU rRNA". It matches the Rfam family "Archaeal small subunit ribosomal RNA", at positions 139 to 902 of the family's 1478-position model. The record is from RNAcentral.
ACUGGGGAUAAUUCCGGAUAGGCCACAGAUGCUGGAAUGCACUGUGGCUCAAAGCUCCGGCGCCGAAGGAUGGGUCUGCGGCCUAUCAGGGUUGUAGUGGGUGUAAUGUACCUACUAGCCUACGACGGGUACGGGUUGUGAGAGCAAGAGCCCGGAGAUGGAUUCUGAGACACGAAUCCAGGCCCUACGGGGUGCAGCAGGCGCGAAAACUUUACAAUGCGGGAAACCGUGAUAAGGGAAUCUCGAGUGCCAGCAUAUAAUGUUGGCUGUCCAGAUGCCUAAAAAGCAUCUGUUAGCAAGGGCCGGGCAAGACCGGUGCCAGCCGCCGCGGUAACACCGGCGGCCCGAGUGGUAACCGCUUUUAUUGGGUCUAAAGGGUCUGUAGCCGGCCAUGUAAGUCCCUUGGGAAAUCUGGCAGCUCAACUGUCAGGCUGCUAGGGGAUACUGCUUGGCUUGGGACCGGGAGAGGUGAGAGGUACCUUGAGGGUAGGGGUGAAAUCUUGUGAUCCUCGGGGGACCACCAGUGGCGAAGGCGUCUCACCAGAACGGGUCCGACGGUAAGGGACGAAAGCUAGGGGCACGAACCGGAUUAGAUACCCGGGUAGUCCUAGCCGUAAACGAUGCUCGCUAGGUGUCAGUCACGGUGCGACCGUGAUUGGUGCCGUAGGGAAGCCGUGAAGCGAGCCACCUGGGAAGUACGGCCGCAAGGCUGAAACUUAAAGGAAUUGGCGGGGGAGCACUACAACGGGUGGAGCCUGCGGUU